RNAcentral lists this long non-coding RNA (357 nucleotides) under Sus scrofa (pig). RNAcentral's name for it is "lncRNA (ENSSSCG00055016856.1)". Lineage: Eukaryota; Metazoa; Chordata; Mammalia; Artiodactyla; Suidae. The record is from RNAcentral.
AUGGCAGAGUUAUUUUGCUUACUAAAGGCCCGUUUUCUUUUCCUUUUAAAGACAUGCAACAGGAUUGUUUUUGCUUGUGAAAGAAUGAGUGGCGUCUGGGAUUUUCAUGACCAAGGAACAGAGCUGUUAGAGAUGGCUGAGAUGUUCUGUUUCAACAGAUGAAGCAGGGUAGAACAUCUGUUAUGUGAUAACUCGUAUGUGCUGUUCCCCAACCGGUAAGCAAUGCAUCCAAUGAAUUCACCUUAAGGAGAAGACCUGCACUGUGUGUGUGUGUGUGUGUGUGUGUGUGUGUGUGUGUGUGUACCUGCAAGGUGUGUUAGAUCAAUCAGUAUCAGAAGACACUGACUUCGUCACAGA